CUCUCUUUGUGGCUCCCUCCCCCCAGCCUUGCCUGCCCUCAGGGCUUAGCAUCGGUCUGGUAGCCAGAGCCUUGCCUAACAUGAAACUGGCACAAAUGAAAAGGCGGAUAAAUAAACGUCCAGGAAUCUUGUUUGUCAUAUUUAAUCCAUCACGUUUCCCAAACAGCCUGGUCAAAAAAUUCUGCAGCAGUGUUUACAUCAUCCUGAUUGAAAGCUACAUCCGUGCAUAUAAAUACCAUUCCUGGAUGUAGCUCCAGUUUCACACGGAGGCAGCUAUCAGCCUUGUCUGCCCUCACCACUGAAAGAAGAAAAAAAAAUGUUUGAAUUUCUUCAUUCCCCCAUUCCUGCCCAAUCCAGCACUCGCACAUUCAUUUUUUUUUCCCCUCCUCUUCCUUAAGUAUCCCAGUGAGCAUUGCCCAAUGCUGUGAUUUCUGGGUAUGCUCAGUGAGCAAUGGGCAAGUGGAAUUCAUUAGACCACGGGGAAAUGGUUAAUCAGUGCGCUAAUGAAAGUGGCACAACACAAGCAUUGAAACAUGCAACCUGGCAGGGCUUGGUGUCAUCACAUGCCAUACACCUGGCACUUGGCUGGGAGCAACAACCAUGUCCCUAGCUGGGAAAGAAAACCAGGAGCACAGGUCAAACCAAUGCAAAUGAAUGAGAGAUAUUUCCCACUUUAAUGACCAGGAGGCAAAACUGGAAGAGGAAAGAAGCAGUUCCACCAUUUGACCAAGGAGAGAGACAGUUGUUGAUCCUACAUCAAGACAAACAAUGGCAAAGUGAUAACGAUGAUGAAGCUCAGAAAGGAACACAGAGUCCCAAACCUCCCCAUGCCAUGAUCCACAAAACAUUUCCCAACAGAAUGAACAGAGAAGGGAAAAAUCAAAAAGGAAAAAGAUGGAAAGAAAAAGAAUUCCAACCUGCCUGGGAUAAGAUGGUACAUCUUGUCACAAACAGAGUGUUUAACUUACGGCUUCUUUUGUUAAAAGAAAACCAAUCAAAUCUGUCUGUUUCCAUUCCAACCUCCUUCCCUCCACUUCAGCUUAUUUUUCCUGUGGCCAAAAUUGUUCAUCGUGCUGGAUGCAAAUCAUCCCCUGCAAAUUGCAUUUUUCCAUGGUAAAUGUUUUCACCAGAGAAUGUCCCGCUAUGCUGCCUCCAGAGGUUUUCAUCCCAUUUGGACACACAUAAUGGCGUGAAACACUUUGCUCACUCAGCUCCAUUUGCAGAGUGAACCCAACGUUGCAAUGUACUGUUUGUACGUUAAUGCAUUGCAAUGACACUGGCACACUUAUUUGGUGGAAAUGGGCACAAUAUUUGAUUGCACUCUUGGCAGCACUGUCCAGAGGUUGGACUUUGACUUCUAGUCUGCCUGUCUCCAGUUUCUUUGCAAAGGCUUUGAAAAACUGGGCUGUGACCCAGCCAUCCCCUUAGGUUUGGGCUUGUUUCUGAGUUCUUAUAGUUGAAAACAUCCAGCUGCAAAAGGAAAUAGCACCUGCUUUAUUCAGCUUAGCAGCACAGACAUUUCCCAGGAGCCUCCUUGUGCCCCUUGGAAUAAAAAUAAGGUUGUCAGAUGAUGCACCACAGAUAAAUCAGCAUUGUGACUGCCAGAAAAUACCCACCUCUCUAUUUUUAUAGGUGUCAUUAGCAUCCCUGCUUCUGAAAUUAGGACCUUACAGAGACAUAGGACACUGCUUUCUCAAAUAACAGCAAACCAUAUAACUUUAUAAGAAGUUUUUAAUCCCAGUAAAAGAAGCGAGACCGUAAACCCAUUUUUACCCUUCCUCCUUCACCUCUUGCCUACUCAAAAGCAGGAGCUGCUUCUGGCCUCCAGAUGUCCAACCCACAAGCUCUUCCCUUUUGCUAUUUUUGCUGCACGCUUUGAUCUUUUGCAAAUGCUGCCUGGGGGGGAGUAGGGGCUGGGGCUGUUGAUGCUGCACCCUGGGCUGCUCCAUCCAUGCCCCAGCCAAGCUCCUCAUCUUCCUCUGCCCUUGCUGCAAAGGGAGAUCUCUCCUGGCCAACAACGUCCCUGUAAGGACUGAGAAUGUCUGACUAAUGCAAGAAAGAAUGGCUGGAUCCCAUUUUAUUUUUUGAGGGAGCUACCUUAGAGAUGGGAAAGUGAAGUACCCAUUGAAGUACCAACUGAAGUAAAGGGAUAUUCAGAGUAAGAAGUGACUUUUGUGAUGUUUCCAUAGGGCAAAGUAAAAUGUGAGACGAUAUUGAUGAAAAUGUGCAAAAUGCAAGAGAAGUGGUGUUUUCCUGCUGCCUCCCAGCUAGGUCUUCUGGGAUGGGCUGAAGUCACCCAGCACAGAGGUGAAGUGUUUGGAUGGGGAACAGGGCACCACUUUGAUGGAAGCUGAGUUACUUACGGAGGAAGGACAUGUUGUCAGAUUCCUUUCAAAGCCCAAGGUAGCAUUGCUAAGGUGGAGAUCAACUCUUGAACAGAGAUCAGAACCACCUAGGAUCAGGGAAAAACAAAAAGAAGAAAACAAGCAGGGGUGACGUGAAGUAG
Molecule: long non-coding RNA, 2506 nt
Filed under: Gallus gallus (chicken)
Lineage: Eukaryota; Metazoa; Chordata; Aves; Galliformes; Phasianidae
Description: lncRNA (ENSGALG00010015630.1)
Source: RNAcentral